ACACUGCAGUCGAGCGACAGACCAGGCAGCUUGCUCCUUUGACGUUAGCUGGCGGACGGGUGAGUAACACGUGGGUAACCUACCUAUGCAACCGGGAUAACUUCGGGAAACCGGAUCUAAUACCGGAUAAGAUUCGAACCGCUGGUUUUGUGUGAAAGAUGGUUUUGCUAUCACUUAUGAUGGACCCGCGCCGGAUUAGCUGGUUGGUAAGGUAACGGCUUACCAGGCGACGAUGCGUAGCCCACCUGAGAGGGUGAUCGGCCACACAGGAACUGACACAGGUCCAGACCCCGACGGGAGGCAGCAUAUUGGGAAUCUUCCGCAUGGGCGAACGCCUGACCGAACAGCGCCGCGAGAGUGAUGAAGGUCUUCGGAUCGUAUAACUCUGGUUAUAAGGGAAGAACAUACUUGUAAGUAACUAUGCACGUCUUGACUGUGCGCUAAUCACAACGCCUCGGCUAACUACUGUGCCACGCUUCCGCGGUUAUACUGUAGUGUGGCAGAGCGUUAUCCGUGAAUUAUUCGGGCGUAUCAGCGCGCGUAGGCGUGUUUUUUAAGUCUGAUGUGAAAGCCCACGGCUCAACCUUGGAGGGUCAUUGGAAACUGGAAAACUUGAGUGCACAAUAAGAUAGUGGAAUUCCAUGUGUAGCGGUGAUAUGCGCAGAGAUAUGGAGGAACACCACUGGCGAACGCCACUUUAUGGUCUGUAACUGACGCUGAUGUGCGAACGCGUGAGGAUCAGACGGAACAGAUACCCUGGUUGUCCACGCCGUAUACUAUCAGUGCUGAGUGUUAGGGGGUUUCCGCCCCUCAGUGCUGCUCUAUGCACUAUGCACUCCCGCCCCGAGAGUACUGAC
This 857-nucleotide ribosomal RNA is filed under the name Staphylococcus haemolyticus. RNAcentral's name for it is "bacterial SSU rRNA". It matches the Rfam family "Bacterial small subunit ribosomal RNA", at positions 52 to 887 of the family's 1533-position model. Lineage: Bacteria; Bacillati; Bacillota; Bacilli; Caryophanales; Staphylococcaceae. The record is from RNAcentral.